This 463-nucleotide ribosomal RNA is filed under the name uncultured bacterium. RNAcentral's name for it is "partial 16S ribosomal RNA". It matches the Rfam family "Bacterial small subunit ribosomal RNA", at positions 28 to 506 of the family's 1533-position model. The record is from RNAcentral.
GACGAACGCUGGCGGCGUGCUUAACACAUGCAAGUCGAACGGAAAGGCCCCUUCGGGGGUACUCGAGUGGCGAACGGGUGAGUAACACGUGAGUAACCUGCCCUUGACUUCGGGAUAACUUCAGGAAACUGGGGCUAAUACCGGAUAGGAAUCCUUGCUGCAUGGUGGGGGUUGGAAGCUUCGGCGGUUUUGGAUGGACUCGCGGCUUAUCAGCUUGUUGGUGGGGUAGUGGCUUACCAAGGCUUUGACGGGUAGCCGGCCUGAGAGGGCGACCGGCCACAUUGGGACUGAGAUACGGCCCAGACUCCUACGGGAGGCAGCAGUGGGGAAUAUUGCACAAUGGGCGGAAGCCUGAUGCAGCAACGCCGCGUGCGGGAUGACGGCCUUCGGGUUGUAAACCGCUUUCAGCAGGGGCGAAGCUUGUGGUGACGGUACCUGCAGAAGAAGCACCGGCGAACUACGU